AGAGUUUGAUCCUGGCUCAGGACGAACGCUGGCGGCGCGCCUAACACAUGCAAGUCGAACGAGAGAAGAAGAGCUUGCUUUUCUGAUCGAGUGGCGAACGGGUGAGUAACGCGUGAGGAACCUGCCUCAAAGAGGGGGACAACAGUUGGAAACGACUGCUAAUACCGCAUAAGCCCACGGCUCGGCAUCGAGCAGAGGGAAAAGGAGCAAUCCGCUUUGAGAUGGCCUCGCGUCCGAUUAGCUAGUUGGUGAGGUAACGGCCCACCAAGGCGACGAUCGGUAGCCGGACUGAGAGGUUGAACGGCCACAUUGGGACUGAGACACGGCCCAGACUCCUACGGGAGGCAGCAGUGGGGAAUAUUGCACAAUGGGGGAAACCCUGAUGCAGCGACGCCGCGUGGAGGAAGAAGGUCUUCGGAUUGUAAACUCCUGUUGUUGAGGAAGAUAAUGACGGUACUCAACAAGGAAGUGACGGCUAACUACGUGCCAGCAGCCGCGGU
RNAcentral lists this ribosomal RNA (500 nucleotides) under uncultured Gram-positive bacterium. RNAcentral describes it as "bacterial SSU rRNA". It matches the Rfam family "Bacterial small subunit ribosomal RNA", at positions 8 to 521 of the family's 1533-position model. The record is from RNAcentral.